CAUAAAAUCGCGACCGAGCUGCAAAGUACAUAAACUCGAAAGCUCGAUAAAGUUAGCAGCUACCCACUGCAAAUCGGAACUUCGCCUCCUUCUCGUACGCCGAUUUUUAGUCCGUCCUUUAUUUCUUCUUUGCUAAGAAAAUUGGUUUGUGCUCGUUCGCGACGCGAAUCACGCCUAAAUCGUUGAGUAGUAAAGUCACUCGAUGGCCAGAUUUCUCACUGGAAUACACCGACACGCGUGUAUUUUGUUUUUUUUGGUCGAUCAACGUUCCUAAAAUCGCGGAGAAGAUGUGCUUUUAAAGCGAUUUUCUUGUACUUUAUGAAGAAAUUAAUAAAAUUAUUAAUAGAAUUUUAAAAAUCUUGAGUGAACUAGUUUGUACAGUUUGUACUAGUUUGUUUUCUUCCUCGAUUUUAUUGAAUCUAACAAUGAGAAGAAAUGAAAGUUUUUGUAUUUCUAUGGUGUGUUUGGAAGGAAGUUGAAGGCGUCGCCGAGCUGAUCCUUCGUGAAAUCGUGGCGAAUGAAACGAGGUCGGUCCAUUAAUUUCGACGAAACAAUGUAACAACAACAAUAGAGGGUACUACAGCCAGCCCUGAGAUUUUGGUUAAAGGAUGCUGGCUUCACAGAGAACUUUGAUGCAAAGGAAACAAUUAAUUAUCCAAUCUGUCGAUAAACAGCUUGGGACAAAAAGCGAAUCGAAGUGAAAUUAUUAACUUUAUAAACUCGUUGCUCCAGCUUUUCAUUCUUUGGAUUACAGAAUCUAUUACUGUUGCAUUAAACAGCUUUGGAAACUUGUAACUUUGUCGAUUUAAUAUUUCCUUCACUUGAUUAGUUACAAUUAACAAUAAAGGUACGUAAGAUCAGUAAUGGUAAUCAAGUUUUGGAAUGUUUGAAUAUUAUAUUAUUGGGGUAACUAAGAUUUUCUGAGGGGUGAGCUAGGUUCCAUGGUUUUGUUAACAAUACCAAGUGUUUAAUAUCUUUCAUUUUAUAAGAUUUUAUAAGAGAAACUUAGAAUCCAAAAAUCCUAAAACCUAGAAACUUAGAAACUCAGAAACCUAGCAACCUACAA
Molecule: long non-coding RNA, 1066 nt
Organism: Osmia lignaria (orchard mason bee)
Lineage: Eukaryota; Metazoa; Arthropoda; Insecta; Hymenoptera; Megachilidae
Source: RefSeq, a predicted model, not a curated record